GGGAGGCAGCAGUGAGGAAUUUUGCGCAAUGGGGGAAACCCUGACGCAGCAACGCCGCGUGAGUGAUGAAGGCCUUCGGGUCGUAAAGCUCUGUCAGAGGGAAAGAAAUGUGGGGAGGCUAAUACCCUUUUCACUUGACGGUACCCUCAAAGGAAGCACCGGCUAACUCCGUGCCAGCAGCCGCGGUAAUACGGAGGGUGCAAGCGUUGUUCGGAAUUAUUGGGCGUAAAGCGCGUGUAGGCGGUCUUUUAAGUCUGAUGUGAAAGCCCCGGGCUCAACCUGGGAAGUGCAUUGGAAACUGGAAGACUUGAGUACGGGAGAGGGCAGUGGAAUUCCUAGUGUAGGAGUGAAAUCCGUAGAUAUUAGGAGGAACACCGGUGGCGAAGGCGGCUGCCUGGACCGAUACUGACGCUGAGACGCGAAAGCGUGGGGAGCAAACAGGAUUAGAAACCCCAGUAGUCCG
This 463-nucleotide ribosomal RNA is filed under the name uncultured bacterium. RNAcentral's name for it is "bacterial SSU rRNA". It matches the Rfam family "Bacterial small subunit ribosomal RNA", at positions 343 to 797 of the family's 1533-position model. The record is from RNAcentral.